This 359-nucleotide ribosomal RNA is filed under the name Propeamussium investigatoris. RNAcentral describes it as "partial 16S ribosomal RNA". It matches the Rfam family "Bacterial large subunit ribosomal RNA", at positions 1917 to 2579 of the family's 2925-position model. The record is from RNAcentral. Lineage: Eukaryota; Metazoa; Mollusca; Bivalvia; Pectinida; Propeamussiidae.
CCGGUCUUAAACGGACGCGGUAAACGUGCAAAGGUAGCUAAAUUAUGGCCUAUUAAUUGUAGGUCCUGUGAAUGGUUUGACGAGCUCCCGACUGUCUCUAGUUUGGUUUAGUGAACUUGAAUUGGAUGUGCAAAUGCUUCCAUGGGAAAGAAAGACGAGAAGACCCCGUGAAGUUAGAGUUUUGGCUGGGGCAGCAAAAGAGCAAAGCUAGACCGGGUGCGCUACGAUGUGAUAAGGAGAACAAGUUACUCCGGGGAUAACAGCGUUAGUCUUGAUAGUUCUUAUAGAUAGGCGGGUUUGCGACCUCGAUGUUGGCUCUGGGUACCCUUGGGCUUGAGGCGGUUCUUAGGGUUGGUUCG